GUUAAUGUAGCUUAAUACUAAAGCAAGGCACUGAAAAUGCCUAGAUGAGUUUUACAGAACUCCAUAAACA
RNAcentral lists this transfer RNA (70 nucleotides) under Choeroniscus minor (lesser long-tailed bat). Its description in RNAcentral is "tRNA-Phe". It matches the Rfam family "tRNA". From Rfam's summary of the family: Transfer RNA (tRNA) molecules are approximately 80 nucleotides in length. Their secondary structure includes four short double-helical elements and three loops (D, anti-codon, and T loops). Further hydrogen bonds mediate the characteristic L-shaped molecular structure. tRNAs have two regions of fundamental functional importance: the anti-codon, which is responsible for specific mRNA codon recognition, and the 3' end, to which the tRNAs corresponding amino acid is attached (by aminoacyl-tRNA synthetases). tRNAs cope with the degeneracy of the genetic code in two manners: having more than one tRNA (with a specific anti-codon) for a particular amino acid; and 'wobble' base-pairing, i.e. permitting non-standard base-pairing at the 3rd anti-codon position. Lineage: Eukaryota; Metazoa; Chordata; Mammalia; Chiroptera; Phyllostomidae. The record is from RNAcentral.